GGAAAAGGCCAAGCAAAGAAGGGCAUAAGGCGGAUGCCUUGGCACUGGGAGCCGAAGAAGGACGUGACAAGCUGCGAAAAGCUGCGGGGAGGAGCACAUAUCCGAUGAUCCGCAGAUAUCCGAAUGGGGGAACCCGCCUGGGGUAAUGCUCAGGCAUAGUCAUAUGAGUAAAGUAGUAUGACAUAAGGAAACGCGGGGAACUGAAACAUCUAAGUACCCGCAGGAAGAGAAAGCAAACGCGAUUUCCCAAGUAGCGGCGAGCGAACGGGAAAGAGGCCAAACCGGGUGCUUGCACCCGGGGUUUCGGACCAUCAGAAGACAGUAACAUCCUAGUGGAACAUGACUGGAAAGUCAGAGCGAAGAGGGUAAAACUCCCGUAGACGAAAGGAUGAGCUGCAGGAUGGGAUCCAGAGUAGGGCCGGACACGUGAAACCCGGUCUGAAGAAGGGGGGACCACCCUCCAAGCCUAAAUACUACCCAGUGACCGAUAGAGAAGAGUACCGUGAGGGAAAGGUGAAAAGAACCCCGGGAGGGGAGUGAAAGAGAACCUGAAACCAUAUGCCUACAAUCGGAGGGAGCGAAAGUGACCUCGUACUUUUUGUAGAACGGGCCAACGAGUUAUGGUGUGCAGCGAGGUUAAGGUGCUGGAGCACCGGAGCCGAAGGGAAACCGAGUCUUAACCGGCCGCAGUUGCAUGCUGUAGACCCGAAACCGGGUGACCUAUCCAUGUGCAGGUUGAAGUGUCCGUAAAAGGACAUGGAGGACCGAACCCGUAUCUGUUGAAAAAGGUUGGGAUGACGUGUGGAUAGCGGUGAAAUUCCAAUCGAACCCGGAGAUAGCUGGUUCUCCCCGAAAUAGCUUUAGGGCUAGCCUCGUGGAAAGAUGCCUGGGGGUAGAGCACUGAAUGUUCUAGGGGCCUUCACCGGUUACCGAAAACUAUCAAACUCCGAAUACCAGAGCAUCAUACACGGGAGUCAGACCAUGUGAGAUAAGUUUCAUGGUCGAAAGGGAAACAGCCCAGACCGCCGGCUAAGGUCCCGAAAUUCAGGUUAAGUGGAAAAGGAUGUGGGGUUGCUUAGACAGCUAGGAUGUUGGCUCAGAAGCAGCCAUUCAUUCAAAGAGUGCGUAAUAGCUCACUAGUCGAGUGACCCUGCGCCGAAGAUGAACGGGGCUGAAACCUGAUACCGAAGCCGCGGAUACUGAGAAGUAUGGUAGGGGAGCAUCGUGUGCAGGCAGAAGCGGAAUUGAAAGAGACCGUGGACAGUACACGAGAGAGAAUGUUGGCAUGAGUAGCGCAAGGCAGGUGAGAAUCCUGUCCACCGAAAAUCCAAGGUUUCCUGAGGAAGGUUCGUCCACUCAGGGUUAGUCGGGUCCUAAGGCGAGGGCGAAAGCCGUAGUCGAUGGAUAACAGGCAGAGAUUCCUGUACCACCGAAGGUCGCAGAGUGAAGCGGGGACACGGAAGGAUAGACUGAGCGCGCCGCUGGUCGAGCGCGUCCAAGCGUUGAGGGAGCAUGAGCAGGGAAGUCCGUUCAUGUGGAACUGAGGCGUUAAGGGGAGGCAAGAGAGCCGGAAGCAGUUGAUUUCACGCCGUCAAGAAAAGCCGCUGGCGAGACCCAAGGUGCCCGUACCGCAAACCGACACAGGUAGAUGAGGAGAGAAUCCUAAGGUGAGCGAGAGAACCAUUGUCAAGGAACUCGGCAAAAUCACCCCGUAACUUCGGGAGAAGGGGUACCACGGAGACGUGGUCGCAGUGAAAAGGCCCAGGCAACUGUUUACCAAAAACACAGGUCUCUGCGAAAGCGAAAGCUGAAGUAUAGGGGCUGACGCCUGCCCGGUGCUGGAAGGUUAAGGGAAAGUGUCAGAGCAAUCGAAGCACGGAACUGAAGCCCCAGUAAACGGCGGCCGUAACUAUAACGGUCCUAAGGUAGCGAAAUUCCUUGUCGGGUAAGUUCCGACCCGCACGAAAGGCGUAAUGAUCUGGGCGCUGUCUCGACAAUGGACUCGGUGAAAUUGUAGUGCCGGUAAAGAUGCCGGCUACCCGCAGCAGGACGGAAAGACCCCAUGGAGCUUCACUGCAGCCUGAUAUUGAGCCUCGGCGCUGCAUGUACAGGAUAGGUGGGAGACUGUGAAUUAAGUACGCCAGUAUUUAAGGAGUCAUCGUUGGGAUACCACCCUUGCAGCGUUGGGGUUCUAACCGUGCGUCGUAAGCCGGCGCCGGGACAGUGGCAGGCGGGCAGUUUGACUGGGGCGGUCGCCUCCUAAAGAGUAACGGAGGCGCCCAAAGGUUCCCUCAGCGCGGACGGAAAUCGCGCGAAGAGUGCAAAGGCAGAAGGGAGCUUGACUGCGAGACAAACAGGUCGAGCAGGGACGAAAGUCGGGCUUAGUGAUCCGGUGGUUCCGAGUGGAAGGGCCAUCGCUCAACGGAUAAAAGCUACCCUGGGGAUAACAGGCUGAUACCCCCCAAGAGUUCACAUCGACGGGGGUGUUUGGCACCUCGAUGUCGGCUCGUCUCAUCCUGGGGCUGGAGUAGGUCCCAAGGGUUGGGCUGUUCGCCCAUUAAAGAGGUACGCGAGCUGGGUUCAGAACGUCGUGAGACAGUUCGGUCCCUAUCCGCUGUGGGCGUUGGAGAUCUGAGUGGGGCUGUCCUUAGUACGAGAGGACCGGGACGGACUUGCCUCUGGUGCACCAGUUGUUCUGCCAAGGGCACAGCUGGGUAGCUACGCAGGGACGGGAUAAGCGCUGAAAGCAUCUAAGUGCGAAGCCCUCCACGAGAAGAGAUCUCCCCCGCAAGGUAAGGUCCGUGGGAGACUACCACGUUGAUAGGUCGGAGGUGUAAGUACGGCAACGUAUUGAGCUGACCGAUACUAAUAGACCGAAAGCUUGGCCG
Molecule: ribosomal RNA, 2888 nt
Filed under: Hornefia butyriciproducens
Lineage: Bacteria; Bacillati; Bacillota; Clostridia; Peptostreptococcales; Anaerovoracaceae
Description: 23S ribosomal RNA
Rfam family: Bacterial large subunit ribosomal RNA
Source: RNAcentral